RNAcentral lists this transfer RNA (68 nucleotides) under Galeopterus variegatus (Sunda flying lemur). Its description in RNAcentral is "tRNA-Val". Lineage: Eukaryota; Metazoa; Chordata; Mammalia; Dermoptera; Cynocephalidae. The record is from RNAcentral.
CAAAGGUGUAGCUUAACNUAAAGCACCCGGCCUACACCCGGAAGAUUUCACUCAACUGACCACUUUGA